GACGAACGCUGGCGGCGUGCUUAACACAUGCAAGUCGAACGGAAAGGCCCUGCUUGCAGGGUACUCGAGUGGCGAACGGGUGAGUAACACGUGGGUGAUCUGCCGUGCACUUCGGGAUAAGCCUGGUAAACUGGGUCUAAUACCGGAUAGGAGCCACUUUUAGUGUGAUGGUUGUAAAGUUUUUUCGGUGUAGGAUGAGCUCGCGGCCUAUCAGCUUGUUGGUGGGGUAAUGGCCUACCAAGGCGGCGACGGGUAGCCGGCCUGAGAGGGUGGACGGCCACAUUGGGACUGAGAUACGGCCCAGACUCCUACGGGAGGCAGGGGUGGGGAAGAUUGCACAAUGGGCGCAAGCCUGAUGCAGCGACGCCGCGUGGGGGAUGACGGCCUUCGGGUUGUAAACUCAUUUCGCUAGGGACGAAGCUUUUUGUGACGGUACCUAGAUAAGAAGCACCGGCUAACUACGUG
RNAcentral lists this ribosomal RNA (465 nucleotides) under uncultured bacterium. RNAcentral describes it as "partial 16S ribosomal RNA". It matches the Rfam family "Bacterial small subunit ribosomal RNA", at positions 28 to 507 of the family's 1533-position model. The record is from RNAcentral.